Juglans microcarpa x Juglans regia is the source of this 746-nucleotide long non-coding RNA. RefSeq lists it as uncharacterized. Lineage: Eukaryota; Viridiplantae; Streptophyta; Magnoliopsida; Fagales; Juglandaceae. The record is from RefSeq and is a predicted model, not a curated record. The transcript is spliced from 2 exons.
CCUAAUUUGAAAAGAGAGGCGUCCAUUUUCUUGUUCCCUUGUCCUCCUCCUGGUCCUACCAUUCCAUCGUGUUCUAUUCCAAAAUUAUAGUUUUGCUUUAUAAUCUGGUCAUUUUCACAUUGUUAAUUAGAGCCUCCAUUCCUCCCAAGACCGUCCAAAAGUCCAAAAAUCACUUCAAAAGCCACAAAUUUCCAAGUUCCUUCCCUCCAAAGUCCAUACCUGCGUUACAUCAUCGCCUCACCCUCCCAAAAAAGUCAUCCCUCAACCUUAUUUAUAACCCACAACAGAGAUUGCCUAUGCAAGUGUUUGCUUGUGGAGGCUGAAAAUGUGUCAUAUGGCCUACAACAAUGUCGGCAACGGCAGGAGAUCCUGCCACGGAAACAGAGGAUUUAGGCUGAAUCCCAAAAGAUUUUCGGUGCAACGAUUUCGUGCAAGAAGAAAUAGCAUCAACAUAAAUAACAGCGGCGUCGGCAGCAACAGCACCAUGAGUUUGGUUUUGAAGGUCCCCAGCAUGGGUCGAGCCGACUGUAGGUUGAGAUCUUUUGGGAGGUCCAACUCCUUCUAUGCCGAGGCCAUUGCAGAUUGCUUGGAGUUCAUCAAGAGGUCCUCUGUUUCUGGAGAUCGAAACCCCAUCAUCCAAAGAUAGGAUAAUUUUUUUUUUUUCUUUUGCCAUUCUGUAUAAAACGACUCGCGGAGAUGUGCUCCUUGUAUUUGUCAUUUUGUUACAUAUCACAUUCGUUUGCCUU